GGACGAAAGUCUGACCGAGCAACGCCGCGUGAGCGAUGAAGGCCUUCGGGUCGUAAAGCUCUGUUGUCAGAGAAGAACAAGUACCGGAGUAACUGCCGGUACCUUGACGGUACCUGACCAGAAAAGCCACGGCUAACUACGUGCCAGCAGCCGCGGUAAUACGUAGGGUGGCAAGCGUUAUCCGGAAUUAUUGGGCGUAAAGCGCGCGCAGGCGGUUCCUUAAGUUCUGAUGUGAAAAGCCCACGGCUCAACCGUGGAGGGUCAUUGGAAACUGGGGAACUUUGAGUGCAGGAGAGAAAAGUGGAAUUCCACGUGUAGCGGGUGAAAUGCGUAGAGAUGUGGAGGAACACCAGUGGGCGGAAGGCGGCUUUUUGGCCUGUAACUGACGCUGAGGCGCGAAAGCGUGGGGAGCAAACAGGAUUAGAUACCCUGGUAGUCCACGCCGUAAACGAUGAGUGCUAGGUGUUGGGGGGUUCCACCCUCAGUGCUGACGUUAACACAUUAAGCACUCCGCCUGGGGAGUACGGCCGCAAGGCUGAAACUCAAAGGAAUUGACGGGGGCCCGCACAAGCAGUGGAGCAUGUGGUUUAAUUCGAAGCAACGCGAAGAACCUUACCAGGUCUUGACAUCCUCUGACCACUCUAGAGA
Molecule: ribosomal RNA, 648 nt
Filed under: Fictibacillus sp.
Lineage: Bacteria; Bacillati; Bacillota; Bacilli; Caryophanales; Fictibacillaceae
Description: bacterial SSU rRNA
Rfam family: Bacterial small subunit ribosomal RNA
Source: RNAcentral